Molecule: transfer RNA, 76 nt
Filed under: Desulfallas sp. Bu1-1
Lineage: Bacteria; Bacillati; Bacillota; Clostridia; Eubacteriales; Desulfallaceae
Description: tRNA-Val
Rfam family: tRNA
About the family: Transfer RNA (tRNA) molecules are approximately 80 nucleotides in length. Their secondary structure includes four short double-helical elements and three loops (D, anti-codon, and T loops). Further hydrogen bonds mediate the characteristic L-shaped molecular structure. tRNAs have two regions of fundamental functional importance: the anti-codon, which is responsible for specific mRNA codon recognition, and the 3' end, to which the tRNAs corresponding amino acid is attached (by aminoacyl-tRNA synthetases). tRNAs cope with the degeneracy of the genetic code in two manners: having more than one tRNA (with a specific anti-codon) for a particular amino acid; and 'wobble' base-pairing, i.e. permitting non-standard base-pairing at the 3rd anti-codon position.
Source: RNAcentral
GGGAGCAUAGCUCAGUUGGGAGAGCACCUGCCUUACAAGCAGGGGGUCAGCGGUUCAAGCCCGUUUGCUCCCACCA